RNAcentral lists this non-coding RNA (52 nucleotides) under Trypanosoma lewisi. Lineage: Eukaryota; Euglenozoa; Kinetoplastea; Trypanosomatida; Trypanosomatidae. The record is from RNAcentral.
AAUAAGAACGGCAACAAUGUAUUGGAUGAUAGAACGAGGGAAAGAAAUGAAU